This 253-nucleotide ribosomal RNA is filed under the name uncultured bacterium. RNAcentral describes it as "partial 16S ribosomal RNA". It matches the Rfam family "Bacterial small subunit ribosomal RNA", at positions 524 to 776 of the family's 1533-position model. The record is from RNAcentral.
UACGAAGGGUGCAAGCGUUACUCGGAAUUACUGGGCGUAAAGCGUGCGUAGGUGGUGGUUUAAGUCUGCUGUGAAAGCCCUGGGCUCAACCUGGGAAUUGCAGUGGAUACUGGAUCACUAGAGUGUGGUAGAGGGAUGCGGAGUUUCUGGUGUAGCAGUGAAAUGCGUAGAGAUCAGAAGGAACAUCCGUGGCGAAGGCGGCAUCCUGGGCCAACACUGACACUGAGGCACGAAAGCGUGGGGAGCAAACAGG